AUGGAGCAGUUCCAGGACGGCCACCACAUGCGGCUGCGGAGCCGCGAGCGCGGCACGUACCUGCACGCCGACGACGACGGGCUUGGCGUCUCCCUCCGCCGGAACCACGCGUCGAGAGUAAAUACCUGGGCGGUGCACAUCUACCAGGGAAAUGGCAACAACCAGUACGUGCUCCUCCACAGCGCUGCCUACGGCCGCUAUCUCGGCGCCACGGACGCGCCGGCGCGGCGAGGCCACAGCGGGCGCCGCGUCGAGCAAUGCGACUACGAGCCCUGGGAGGAGAUGGCCAUCAGGUGGCAGGUCGUCAGGAUCGGCUCGGGGGACGAUAUCCUGCUCCGCCAGGCGGUCGCCGGCCGCCUCCGCGCCAACGGGAGGUACCUCAGCGUCGACGCCUUCAACAGCGUCGGCCCGAUGAUGCAUUGGGUCGUGGAGCAAAUCCCCGCUAGGGAGGACACGCCUAGCCUUGCAGCUCCGACUGGGGUGAGUCCGCCAUGCCCGCUUCUUCAUACUUCUUGGGUGUCGUUAGUUUGCGUCAGAAUUCAACCGCGGAGAUUGCAGAUUGUGUUAAUUUCAUUCGCCAAAUUUGCGCUAUGCCUGCUUCUUGAUUCUUCCCGAAUUGGGUUCCGAUAA
RNAcentral lists this ribosomal RNA (630 nucleotides) under Triticum aestivum (bread wheat). Its description in RNAcentral is "partial small subunit ribosomal RNA". Lineage: Eukaryota; Viridiplantae; Streptophyta; Magnoliopsida; Poales; Poaceae. The record is from RNAcentral.